This 586-nucleotide ribosomal RNA is filed under the name Pichia fermentans. Its description in RNAcentral is "eukaryotic LSU rRNA". It matches the Rfam family "Eukaryotic large subunit ribosomal RNA", at positions 66 to 664 of the family's 3401-position model. Lineage: Eukaryota; Fungi; Ascomycota; Pichiomycetes; Pichiales; Pichiaceae. The record is from RNAcentral.
CAACAGGGAUUGCCCCAGUAGCGGCGAGUGAAGCGGCAAAAGCUCAGAUUUGGAAUCGCUUCGGCGAGUUGUGAAUUGCAGGUUGGCGCCUCUGCGGCGGCGGCGGUCCAAGUCCCUUGGAACAGGGCGCCAUUGAGGGUGAGAGCCCCGUGGGACCGUUUGCCUACGCUCUGAGGCCCUUCUGACGAGUCGAGUUGUUUGGGAAUGCAGCUCUAAGCGGGUGGUAAAUUCCAUCUAAGGCUAAAUACUGGCGAGAGACCGAUAGCGAACAAGUACUGUGAAGGAAAGAUGAAAAGCACUUUGAAAAGAGAGUGAAACAGCACGUGAAAUUGUUGAAAGGGAAGGGUAUUGCGCCCGACAUGGAGCGUGCGCACCGCUGCCCCUCGUGGGCGGCGCUCUGGGCGUGCUCUGGGCCAGCAUCGGUUUUUGCCGCGGGAGAAGGGCGGCGGGCAUGUAGCUCUUCGGAGUGUUAUAGCCUGCCGCCGGCGCCGCGAGCGGGGACCGAGGACUGCGACUUUUGUCUCGGAUGCUGGCACAACGGCGCAACACCGCCCGUCUUGAAACACGGACCUCCUGUGUGAAGUGA